This 1325-nucleotide ribosomal RNA is filed under the name Triticum aestivum (bread wheat). RNAcentral describes it as "partial small subunit ribosomal RNA". The record is from RNAcentral. Lineage: Eukaryota; Viridiplantae; Streptophyta; Magnoliopsida; Poales; Poaceae.
CAUUUUUAAUACGAUCCGAGUCACAUGGGCCGGGUUUUCGUAAAGGGAAGUAGGCAGCCGGAAACUCUCAGGUGGGCUGGUCGGCGGCGCGGCGCGCGUCGUCCUCGGGGAGCUGCCGCCGGCAGCCGCGAUCCGCCUUAGAGGGGGCUACCUCCGCCGGCGGCAGCGAAGGAGGCCGGGGCCCGACGCGACGCGCGAAUUGGGGCGGGGCUUGGUCGUAUCCUUUCCGCGCGCGAACUCGAAUGGCCGGUUCUCAGUCGUCGCGACGCGGCAGUGAACGCCCGCGAACGACGAGGCGGGGUUGCGAGCGCAUACGUGCCGCCGUAGCCGUAGCCGUAGCUGCCACUACCUAUCGCCCCGACCCCUGAGGCCCCACUCCUCCUUCUCCGAGCGCCACAAGCAGAGUCCGCCCCCGAGCUUGAAGGCCAGCUAGGUGCUCCGGCAAGACCCACCCUUCCACUUGCCCCUACAACAACGCGAGCAGUGGCUAUUCGGUCCGACGCCACCGCGCCUCAUACGUUCCACGUUACCGUACGGGCACCAGCACAAAGGGUUCAGCUUUAGCCGCGGCCUCCCCCAGAGGUGUCUACUUGAAGACUUACAAGACUCCCUAGACUUCCAUCUGAAAUAAGAUGAACGACCAAUGAACUUCGAGUAUGGACCACUCGAUCAAUUCAGUAAAGGGUCUAGGUACGACUUAUAUGUAGGAAGUGACGAGGGCCGUAAACCUCCGUUCCCAAUAAUACCAAACUUUCACGUAUUUCGUCAAUAACGUAGACCUCGGUCUAUGAGUCCUGGUUGACACGUGAAACACCUACUCGUCAAGCUGUGUCCCUUUUGGAACCGGGUUUCUCAACACGGUCACAAUCGGUUACUAUGAGGUCUCGUUAACCGACGUUCCCAAGAAGUGCUCCUCGUGGUUCAAAUGCAACUCCGUCAACGACGGAACACACUCCUAGCUUAACACACCGCUCUGCUACCACAGGGUGAAUAGUCUUCAGUCUGUUUGGGGUUACGCAUAUGGAUUAAGCACUAGAGACAGGACUCUAGAGGACUUUUGAUUACUUCAAACAUCACAGGCGUGGUUCACGGUCAAAAGCGGUGCCGUACAUCAGUUGUGUGUGGCAAACAGACUAACUCACUUUAUUGUACAGAUUAUUAGACCAGGGUCUUUGUAUUACACAUGGAACGUGACACAAAUUGAGUAACAUACCGAACCGAAGCUACUAUUAGACACGGACUUUAUUGUAAAGACUAUUAGACCAGGGUCUUCGCAUUACAGUGGAACAUGACACAAGUUGAGUAACAUACCGAACCGAAACUAC